GACGAACGCUGGCGGCGUGCUUAACACAUGCAAGUCGAACGGUGAAGCGCUUUCCUUUUUGGUUGGUGUGGAUGAGUGGCGAACGGGUGAGUAACACGUGAGUAACCUGCCCCCUUCUUCUGGAUAACCGCAUGAAAGUGUGGCUAAUACGGGAUAUUCUGCGCCUGCUGCAUGGUGGGUGUGGGAAAGAUUGUGCCUUUGGGUGUUUUCGGUGGGGGAUGGGCUCGUGGCCUAUCAGCUUGUUGGUGGGGUGAUGGCCUGCCAAGGCGGUGACGGGUGGCCGGGCGGAGAGGGUGGACGGUCACACUUGGACUGAGACACGGCCCAGACUCCUACGGGAGGCAGCAGUGGGGUAUAUUGCACACUGGGCGCAAGCCUGAUGCAGCGACGCCGCGUGAGGGAUGGAGGCCUUCGGGUUGUGAACCUCUUUCGCCAGUGAAGCAGGCCUGCUCCUUGUGGGUGGGUUGACGGUAGCUGGAUAAGAAGCGCCGGCUAACUACGUG
RNAcentral lists this ribosomal RNA (503 nucleotides) under uncultured bacterium. RNAcentral describes it as "partial 16S ribosomal RNA". It matches the Rfam family "Bacterial small subunit ribosomal RNA", at positions 28 to 507 of the family's 1533-position model. The record is from RNAcentral.